RNAcentral lists this ribosomal RNA (3497 nucleotides) under Actinomycetota bacterium. RNAcentral describes it as "partial 23S ribosomal RNA". It matches the Rfam family "Bacterial large subunit ribosomal RNA", at positions 1825 to 2924 of the family's 2925-position model. Lineage: Bacteria; Bacillati; Actinomycetota. The record is from RNAcentral.
GCGAAGCCGUAAGGCGCUGUAUACGCUCUGACGCCUGCCCGGUGCCGGAAGGUUACGGGGAAGGGUUAGCUGAGACUUCGGUCUCGGCGAAGCUCUGAACCUAAGCCCCGGUAAACGGCGGCGGUAACUAUAACCGUGGGUUGCUACCAACCGGCGGUUCUAAAACUCGGCUAUAUGCUGGAACAUCCGAGCAUCCGACGGUACUCGUUUGUGUCACACCUCGAUGAUUGAGUGUGAGGCAUGAAUACAGUGAUAAUCCGGUUCGGUGCGGACAAUCAGCAGGAAACCGCUUCGCGGGAUCCUCAGAGACUGUACGCCGAGCGCCUCCCUUGCCAAGGAGAGGCGAUGAGACAGUCCGAUCCUCAUGGCGACAUGGGGAGGACGGCAGAAAUGACCGUCCCGCCACUUGUUUUUCGAGUGGAGGUAACAGUGAUGCCUAAGGUUGCAAGAGCCCCUCAGCAGGAGAGGGGUGCUGCCCCUCCCAACGGCGACGUUGGUGAGUGCAGCUGGCUAUAUGCUGGAAUAUCCGGCGCAUCCAUCCGGUACUCGUCAUGCGAUCAGCAUGACAGUGACAAUCCGGUGGUGUGUGGUACGACAAGGGCCACGCCGGACAAUCAGCAGGAAACCGCCCUUGCGGGAUCCUCAGAGGCCAUACGCCAGCCUUCUCGACACAGCGAGAAGAUGAGAUGGUCCGAACCCUGUGGCGACGCAGGGAGAUUGGCUAACGCCGAUCCGCCUCCUCAUACAGGAGGUCAUCAAGCAACAGACAAUCCGGACAUACCGGACAUGAGCGAAAUUCCUUGUCGGGUAAGCUACAGCUUGCCCCUUGGGGGAGCGAUCCCUCAUGCAAAUCCGGCUAAUAACGGGGAACCCCUACCUCGUUCACACGAGCGGGGAAUCCCGUGGGAAGUCGAGGGUCGUAUCAGACCCUUUGACCCCGUAACGACUGAGGCGAAAGCCAAGAUGACGUUCCUGCGCAAGCAAAUCUACGAACGUCAUAAGACGCCGGCCCUCUGAACGAUGCUCGACAUUCCGUCGUACGUUUCAGGCUAUGUGGACGGCGAAGGAUGCUUCUGCAUCUCUUUGCGCCCCCAGCCGCGGAUCAGAGUGGGAUGGGAGAUCCGUCCCAGUUUUUCCGUCAGCCAGAACGCCGAUCGGGCUGAAGUCGUGAACCUACUUCCACAUCUUUUUGGCUGUGGAACCAUCAGGCCCGACCGAUCGGACAAGACCCUGAAGUUCGAGGUUCGGUCUCUUCGCAACUUGCAGGAGGCUGUAAUCCCAUUCUUCGAGGCGUACCCGCUGCUUUCAUCGAAGCGCAGAGACUUCGAGAUAUUCAGCGAGGUUUGUCGUCGCAUGGCGUUGGGAACUCAUCUCACCGCAAGCGGCGUCGAGAGCAUCUGUGACUUGUUGGAACAGAUGAACUCGAGCGGCAGCAGAACGAACGAGAUCGGAAUGAUUCGAGCAAUACUCAAGAGGUGAAGGGAUAGUCUGCGCCCCUAGUAAUAGGGGAUCAACGUGAAGUUCCGACCUGCACGAAUGGCGUAACGACUUGGGCACUGUCUCGACUGGGGACUCGGCGAAAUUGCAAUACGAGUAAAGAUGCUCGUUACCCGCGGAAGGACGGAAAGACCCUAGGACCUUUACUGCAGCUUGAUAUUGGAGUUUGGAACAUUUUGUGUAGGAUAGGCGGGAGACUUCGAAGCCUGGACGCUAGUUCAGGUGGAGUCAACCUUGAAAUACCGCCCUUGAUGUUCUGGGCUUCUAACCCGGGUCCGUUAUCCGGAUCGGAAACAGUGUCAGGUGGGCAGUUUCACUGGGGCGGUGACCUCCUAAAAUGUAACGGAGGUGUUCAAAGGUUCCCUCAUCCUGGUCGGCCAUCAGGAGUUGAGUGUAAACGCACAAGGGAGCUUGACUGCGAGACCUACAAGUCGAGCAGGUGCGAAAGCAGGAGUUAGUGAUCCGGCGGUCCCUCGUGGUAGGGCCGUCGCUCAUCGGCUAAAAGGUACCCUAGGGAUAACAGGCUAAUGGUUCCCAAGAGUCCAUAUCGACGGAACCGUUUGGCACCUCGAUGUCGGCUCAAUUUAGGGCCCUUAGACGGGUAACCGUCUAAGCAAGACUCGGCUAAUAACGGGGAAACCCUCCUCGGUUUCAUACCCAGCAGCUACCUGUCUCAGGUAGUCGCGGACCGAAGGGCAAUCUCGUGGGAAGUCGAGAAGCUCACUGAGCUUCUUUGACCCCGUAACGACUGAAGGCUUUGUGCCUGAGAUAGCGAUCCCUGGAGCAUUGCUCCAAAUUUACGGACGCUAUAAGACGCCGAGCUCCAACCAGCAAGAGAGGUUGGAUGAAGGGAUAGUCUGCGCCACAAGAAAUUGUGGAGAACCGUGCGUCGCAUCCUGGGGCUGGAGCAGGUCCCAAGGGUUGGGCUGUUCGCCCAUUAAAGCGGCACGCGAGCUGGGUUUAGAACGUCGUGAGACAGUGGAUACGCGCUGUCUAUAAAUUCGGCUAAAUGCUGGAAACACCGAGCAUCCCGAGCUACUCGUCCUGUCACAGUGCUUUGCUAGCGUCUGUGGCAUGAACAGUGACAAAGCACCGGGUGCGGUCGAUCAGCAGGAAAGACUGGAUGCCUAUAUCGCAGGCUACGUGGACGGGGAAGGCUCCUUUCACGUAGCUCUCCAGAAGAAUCCGAGUACGACCAACAAAUGGCAACUAGUACCGGAGUUUCACGUGAGCCAGAAUCCAGAACGCCGUCAGGUCCUGGAUCUCAUAGCGGCUCGACUUGGUUGUGGUCGUAUAACGUGAGAAUCACGUAGGAGCGGAGGACAGAUGCCUUGUCUUCGUUGUUCGUAACCGGGUCGACUUGUUGACUCGGGUGAUUCCUUUCUUCGAACUACAGCCACUCUUGAGUUCGAAACAACAGGAUUUCGUCACUUUCUCCCUAAUAGUAAGAGCAAUGUCGCGAGGGGAGCACUUGUCGAUUGAAGGAUUUGCAAGACUGCGAGAACAGGCACUUUUGAUGAACGGCGGUGGGAGAUAUUGUCGAGUACAUCAAGUAACAAUCCAGAAUCCUCAGAGGCCAUACGCCGAACAUGGACUGAGUCCAUGAAGAUAUGGUCCGACCCCCAUGGCGACAUGGGGAGCCAGGCGGAACAGAAACGACCUGGCCGCCGGGCCCAGAAGCACGGCCCGGAGGUAACAGAAGUGUCGGUCCCUAUCCUCCGCGGGCGUAGGAGAUUUGAGAGGAGCUGUCCCUAGUACGAGAGGACCGGGACGGACGCACCUCUAGUGUGCCAGUUGUCCUGCCAAGGGCAGGCUGGUUAGCUACGUGCGGAACGGAUAAGCGCUGAAAGCAUCUAAGUGCGAAGCCGACCUCAAGAUGAGAUCUCCCACCAGAUCAACUGGGUAAGGCCCCUUGCUAGACGACAAGGUUGAUAGGCCGGAGCUGUAAGCACAGCAAUGUGUUCAGGCGACCGGUACUAAUAGGCCGAGGGCUUGGUAUC